Molecule: ribosomal RNA, 492 nt
Filed under: uncultured bacterium
Lineage: Bacteria
Description: partial 16S ribosomal RNA
Rfam family: Bacterial small subunit ribosomal RNA
Source: RNAcentral
AGUGAACGCUGGCGGUAGGCCUAACACAUGCAAGUCGAACGGCAGCACAGUAAGAGCUUGCUCUUACGGGUGGCGAGUGGCGGACGGGUGAGGAAUACAUCGGAAUCUACUUUUUCGUGGGGGAUAACGUAGGGAAACUUACGCUAGUACCGCAUACGACCUACGGGUGAAAGCAGGGGAUCUUCGGACCUUGCGCGAUUGAAUGGGCCGAUGUCGGAUUAGCUAGUUGGCGGGGUAAAGGCCCACCAAGGCGACGAUCCGUAGCUGGUCUGAGAGGAUGAUCAGCCACACUGGAACUGAGACACGGUCCAGACUCCUACGGGAGGCAGCAGUGGGGAAUAUUGGACAAUGGGCGCAAGCCUGAUCCAGCCAUACCGCGUGGGUGAAGAAGGCCUUCGGGUUGUAAAGCCCUUUUGUUGGGAAAGAAAAGCAGCAGGUUAAUACCCCGCUGUUCUGACGGUACCCAAAGAAUAAGCACCGGCUAACUUCGUG